CCAUCUGUAUCACCAGAUGACCCUAAGACUCUGAAUAAAGUAGCGAGUCUGACAAUGUAACGAUAUUUGGCUUAUGUCAAAUGGGAACUGAAUCGUGAGAGGACGUUCUUCCUGAUAACCACAAUCGGGUAAGUGC
This is a non-coding RNA of Shewanella piezotolerans WP3, 136 nucleotides long. The record is from Rfam. NCBI's taxonomy places the organism in Bacteria, Pseudomonadati, Pseudomonadota, Gammaproteobacteria, Alteromonadales, Shewanellaceae.